Molecule: long non-coding RNA, 385 nt
Organism: Erigeron canadensis
Lineage: Eukaryota; Viridiplantae; Streptophyta; Magnoliopsida; Asterales; Asteraceae
Exons: 2
Source: RefSeq, a predicted model, not a curated record
UGUCUUUGUUAUAUUUGAAUGUCACAAGUUAUUGUCUGGCUUGUAGGUUGCCAAAGUUUCGAUGGGAUGUUAUAUGGCUUCCUUUAGGUCCCUUGAGUGGAGCUGGGUUUUGCCUCUAUGUGGACACUCUUCUAAAUGAUUCAUCCGAGGAAGUAAAAAACUCAGAGGCUAUAUGUACGCUUACAAAGCCCGUUGACUCGAACUAUGAUCCGCAAAAGAGAUGAUUCGCAAUUUACAGUAGUCCAAGGUAGUCGACCUGAGAUUGUUGAAUUUGUUUAAUUAAAGGCACAAUUCCAAUAGAAAGUGUUGUUAGGAUCAUGUUUCACGUUUGAAAGACAAUUUUGUAUACUAUGUAGAUGGAAAUAAAGAGCGAGAGUUUGUUUCC